UAGGCGUAAAUGAUGCGAGUUAAGUGUGGGGGCAUCUACGAGAUGGCCCUGUGCUGUAGGGUAGCCGUUAAACUCGCUGCCUGGGGAGUACGGUCGCAAGGCUGAAACUUAAAGGAAUUGGCGGGGGGAGCACCACAAGAGGUGGAGGCUGCGGUUCAAUUGGACUCAACGCCGGAAAUCUUACCGGGACCGACAGCAACAUGAAGGCCAGGCUGAAGACUUUGCCGGAUUAGCUGAGAGGUGGUGCAUGGCGUAGUCGUGU
This 262-nucleotide ribosomal RNA is filed under the name uncultured archaeon. RNAcentral describes it as "partial 16S ribosomal RNA". It matches the Rfam family "Archaeal small subunit ribosomal RNA", at positions 748 to 1009 of the family's 1478-position model. The record is from RNAcentral.